Small nuclear RNA from Sarcophilus harrisii (Tasmanian devil), 107 nucleotides. NCBI's taxonomy places the organism in Eukaryota, Metazoa, Chordata, Mammalia, Dasyuromorphia, Dasyuridae. The record is from Ensembl.
GUGUUAUAGGGAAGGAGAGAAAAUUAGAAUUCCCCUUGAUAAAGAUGGAAGAACUUUUAGUGACCUUUACAGCAUAUCUAUAUCAAUUCAAGUCAACAAAUAUUUAU